UACGGAGGGUGCGAGCGUUGUCCGGAAUCACUGGGCGUAAAGGGCGCGUAGGCGGCGCGGGCAGUCAACGGUGAAAGCUCGGAGCUCAACUCCGAGUCGGCCGUCGAUACUCCCGUGCUUGAGCACUGUAGAGGCAGAUGGAAUUCCUGGUGUAGCGGUGAAAUGCGCAGAUAUCAGGAAGAACACCCGUGGCGAAGGCGGUUCUCUGGGACGGUACUGACGCUGAGACGCGAAAGCGUGGGGAGCGAACAGG
RNAcentral lists this ribosomal RNA (253 nucleotides) under uncultured bacterium. RNAcentral's name for it is "partial 16S ribosomal RNA". It matches the Rfam family "Bacterial small subunit ribosomal RNA", at positions 524 to 776 of the family's 1533-position model. The record is from RNAcentral.